RNAcentral lists this ribosomal RNA (207 nucleotides) under Triticum aestivum (bread wheat). Its description in RNAcentral is "partial small subunit ribosomal RNA". Lineage: Eukaryota; Viridiplantae; Streptophyta; Magnoliopsida; Poales; Poaceae. The record is from RNAcentral.
AUGGUAGGCGUCAAUGGUAAUGUGAGAAAGGGCCUCGCGUCUCUCGUCAUGUUGGUUUCUUGGGAGAUUUGAAACGAGCGGAAUGCCAGAGUAUUUAGGAUGGUGUCCUCCAUGCCAAAUGUAAUCACGUCUAGAAUCAAGGCGGAGGUCAGACUUUGGGGGUUGGCAGGGGCCAAACGUCUGAGUUCUCUUAUGCCGCGAGAGUAG